UACGAAGGGGGCUAGCGUUGCUCGGAAUUACUGGGCGUAAAGCGCACGUAGGCGGCUCUUUAAGUCGGGGGUGAAAUCCUGGAGCUCAACUCCAGAACUGCCUCCGAUACUGAGAGACUUCGAGUCCGGGAGAGGUGAGUGGAACUGCGAGUGUAGAGGUGAAAUUCGUAGAUAUUCGCAAGAACACCAGUGGCGAAGGCGGCUCACUGGCCCGGUACUGACGCUGAGGUGCGAAAGCGUGGGGAGCAAACAGG
RNAcentral lists this ribosomal RNA (254 nucleotides) under uncultured bacterium. RNAcentral describes it as "partial 16S ribosomal RNA". It matches the Rfam family "Bacterial small subunit ribosomal RNA", at positions 524 to 776 of the family's 1533-position model. The record is from RNAcentral.